AUGCUUCAUGAACGUGGAGAUGC
Molecule: non-coding RNA, 23 nt
Filed under: Arabidopsis thaliana (thale cress)
Lineage: Eukaryota; Viridiplantae; Streptophyta; Magnoliopsida; Brassicales; Brassicaceae
Source: RNAcentral